RNAcentral lists this ribosomal RNA (305 nucleotides) under uncultured bacterium. Its description in RNAcentral is "bacterial SSU rRNA". It matches the Rfam family "Bacterial small subunit ribosomal RNA", at positions 337 to 640 of the family's 1533-position model. The record is from RNAcentral.
ACCUACGGGGGGCAGCAUUGAGGAAUAUUGGUCAAUGGUCGGGAGACUGAACCAGCCAAGCCGCGUGAGGGAUGAAGGUACAGAGUAUCGUAAACCUCUUUUGUCAGGGAACAAAGGCGGGGACGUGUCCCCGGAUGAGUGUACCUGAAGAAAAAGCAUCGGCUAACUCCGUGCCAGCAGCCGCGGUAAUACGGAGGAUGCGAGCGUUAUCCGGAUUUAUUGGGGUUAAAGGGUGCGCAGGCGGUCUGUUAAGUCAGCGGUCAAAGCCCGGGGCUCAACCCCGGCCCGCCGUUGAAACUGGCAGG